CCUACGGGUGGCUGCAGUAGGGAAUCUUCCGCAAUGGACGAAAGUCUGACGGAGCAACGCCGCGUGAGCGAAGAAGGUCUUCGGAUCGUAAAGCUCUGUUGUUAGGGAAGAACAAGUACGGAAGGAAAGGACCGUACCUUGACGGUACAUAACGAGGAAGCCACGGCUAACUACGUGCGAGCAGCCGGGGUAAUACGUAGGGGGCAAGCGUUGUCCGGAAUUAGUGGUCGUAAAGGGCGCGGAGGCGGUCCGUUAAGUCCGUUGGGAGAUCUUGCGGCUCAACCGCAAGUGGUCAUUGGAAACUGGGAGACUUGAGUGCAGAAGAGGAAAGCGGAAUUCCACGUGUAGCGGUGAAAUGCGUAGAGAUGUGGAGGAACACCAGUGGCGAAGGCGGCUUUCUGGUCUGUAACUGACGCUGAGGCGCGAAAGCGUGGGGAGCAAACAGGAUUAGAUACCCGAGUAGUC
RNAcentral lists this ribosomal RNA (465 nucleotides) under uncultured bacterium. RNAcentral describes it as "bacterial SSU rRNA". It matches the Rfam family "Bacterial small subunit ribosomal RNA", at positions 338 to 795 of the family's 1533-position model. The record is from RNAcentral.